This 478-nucleotide ribosomal RNA is filed under the name uncultured bacterium. RNAcentral's name for it is "partial 16S ribosomal RNA". It matches the Rfam family "Bacterial small subunit ribosomal RNA", at positions 28 to 507 of the family's 1533-position model. The record is from RNAcentral.
GAUGAACGCUGGCGGCGUGCUUAACACAUGCAAGUCGAACGGGAAAUAUUUCAUUGAGACUUCGGUGGAUUUGAUUUAUUUCUAGUGGCGGACGGGUGAGUAACGCGUGGGUAACCUGCCUUAUACAGGGGGAUAACAGUCAGAAAUGGCUGCUAAUACCGCAUAAGCGCACAGAGCUGCAUGGCUCAGUGUGCAAAACUCCGGUGGUAUAAGAUGGACCCGCGUUGGAUUAGCUAGUUGGUGGGGUAACGGCCCACCAAGGCGACGAUCCAUAGCCGGGCUGAGAGGGUGAACGGCCACAUUGGGACUGAGACACGGCCCAGACUCCUACGGGAGGCAGCAGUGGGGAAUAUUGCACAAUGGGGGAAACCCUGAUGCAGCGACGCCGCGUGAAGGAAGAAGUAUCUCGGUAUGUAAACUUCUAUCAGCAGGGAAGAUAGUGACGGUACCUGACUAAGAAGCCCCGGCUAACUACGUG